Salvia miltiorrhiza (redroot sage) is the source of this 1803-nucleotide long non-coding RNA. RefSeq lists it as uncharacterized. Lineage: Eukaryota; Viridiplantae; Streptophyta; Magnoliopsida; Lamiales; Lamiaceae. The record is from RefSeq and is a predicted model, not a curated record. The transcript has 2 exons.
AAUACUCCCUCCGUCCCAAUAAAUGUGACCACUUUCUUUUCGGCACGGAGAUUAAGAAAGUGAUAGUUAAGUGUUAAUUAAAUGUGUUCCACCAAAAUUAAUGAAUUAAUUAAAAUAGUCCCCCUCGAGAAAAUACUUCCUGCUCUGUACCGUUUCCUUUGUACCGUUUCCCUCCCUCCUUCUGUUUCUAAUUUCACAUUGAUGUAUUUAUCUUCUUCCUUUUGUUGAAUGUUGGCCAGCUAAAGCAAAGAAAAAAUGGUGCUCGCAGAAACUGGGCAAAUGCACCCACCAAAUAUGUUCAAAUUAAUGAAUUAAUUAAAACUUGCUUCAACCCAUUUGUCUUCUUCUACUAGCUUCUUCUUCUUCCUUUUUUUUUCUUUUUCUUUAAAACCUGCGACACCACUCCAAAACACCGUCGGCCACCGCGUCCCUCUCUCAUCUCCGACGACCGCAACCUCUCUCUCUAAUCUUCCAUCUCCUCUCCCAUGCUCUAGUCGGAACGACAACAGAGCCGCCGCCUCACAAGCUCCGGCGACCGCAGCAGGGCCACAGCUGCUGCCUUCGCUCCUUCUUUUCCUCUCAUUUCCUAUCUGCUCCUCAUUAACCGCCGCUCGCAUAUGAGCGGCGGCGCCACCUCCAAACCCUAGAUCCCCAAAUCCAACCCCCUAUUUUCUUUCAAUUUCAGAAGACAGCGCCGCCGGCGCGACGCCACCUCCGGCCGAACAACAGUAGCCUAACACCGCCGUCGCCGCCGCUAUCUUCUACCCCACUCGACACACACGCAUCAAGAUUCACGACAACCUCUGCUCCUUCACCCCUAACGGCGUCGCCUGCGACUACUUCUCCAAAACCAGACACCCAAACCAGAUGCGAGAAGGGAAGGAGACGGCGGUCGCAGCGCAGCGCAGCGGCGGUGCCGCCGUCAAUCGGAGAGUGCAGAGGAGAGGAAAAUGGUGCGGCAGUUGUGUGUCUCUGCGUGGUGUGUGUGUGUUUGUUUAAAGUUUGUUUAGAUUUAGUUAGAAAUUUUAAUUAAAUUAAUUAAUUAUAGUUAAUUAAAGUAAACAUUUUCAUUCUGAGAAAGUGGUCAUUUUUAGUGGAUAAACCAAAAUGGAAAGAUUUAUUGGGACGGAUGGAGUAGAAGCUAACACUGGCUGACCUAUCUAGUGUAGCUGGCAUAAAAAAGCGGCCACAUAAUAUUUAUCAUCGUUUCCAAUUAUUUCCCUUUAAAUAUUUUUCUUUUUCUCAUCCUCUUAGCUCAGGUUGUUUAAAGCGGCUAAAUCAUGUCUUCUCUGCAUACUUUUGCGCCGCCGUCCUACUCAAUCGGAAUCUUCCGCCGUCCCUCACCCGGAAUUUGUUCCUCUUUCCUUACCCGAGUUAUUCCUGGCGGCAUUAAUUUUAACGCCAAUCUCAAUUUAAGGUGCAAUAAGGAACUAAAUCUGCAAGAAGAGAAGAGGCGGAGUCGUGUAUCUGCAUCAAACACAAAUCCUUCAAACAAAGCAGAUGACACAAAAUCGAGUGAUGAUGCUUCGAGUCCUCCACUCCUCACCAUUUUAGCUGGUCUCAUAGUCUUCUUGUUCAUCGCUUGGAUCAUCGGAUCCGUAGUAAUGUGGAUUAUUGGCUUUAUUUUACAUCCACCACAAUUGAAAUGAGUCUGAGUUUGUCUAGGAUUAACAUUAUUAGAUUCUCCGUUGAAUAAUUAUAGCUUAGCAAUAUUGACACUAUACUAAUGCAUUGCUUGCAGUUGCAGGCAGUGCCAACUUUGGGUUUUCAGUUCAAAUUUGGUCUCAGCAGGAUUUUGCACUA